This 2293-nucleotide long non-coding RNA is filed under the name Linum usitatissimum (flax). RNAcentral describes it as "long non-coding RNA (LUSI_LNC008085)". Lineage: Eukaryota; Viridiplantae; Streptophyta; Magnoliopsida; Malpighiales; Linaceae. The record is from RNAcentral.
CAUUAUCGAUUUUCCCGGUGGACACAAGGCCUUUGAAAUAUGUGCUAAAUUCUGCUACGGAAUGACAGUCACUCUCAACGCAUACAAUGUCGUAGCUGCUCGAUGUGCAGCUGAGUACCUUGAGAUGACUGAGGAUGUCGAUUCAGGGAACCUGAUUUUCAAGAUUGAGGUGUUCCUCAACUCGAGCAUUUUCCGGAGCUGGAAAGAUUCUAUCAUUGUUCUUCAGACCACCAAGGCUCUAUUGCCCUGGUCUGAUGAGUUGAAGAUUGUUGGGAGAUGCAUUGAUUCCAUUGCAUCCAAGACUUCCAUUGACCCUUCCACUAUCACUUGGUCUUAUACUUACAAUAGGAAGCUGAAUGAUGCAGACAAUGAGAUACUACUAGAAGAUGAUGAUGACGUGCAUCGCAAGUUUCGAAAGAGAAACGGUCAUCAUCAUGGUGUUCCAAAGGAUUGGUGGGUUGAAGAUGCAUGUGAGCUGGAAAUUGACCUCUACAAGAGAGUAAUUCUUGCUGUCAAAUCGAAGGGUAGAAUGGACUGUAUGGUGAUGGGAGAGGCUCUUAAAUGUUAUGCUCUUCGAUGGCUUCCUGAUUCCUUAGAUGACUUGACUUGCGACGCAAGUAACUCGUGGCAUAAGUAUCUGGUGGAAACACUAAUCCAUCUUCUGCCCGCUGAAAAGGCUGGUGGUGGCUGUUCUUGUAGUUUCUUACUCAAAUUGUUGAAAGUCGCCAUCUUUGCUGGAGUUAAUGAUACCCUCAAGGAAGAUCUAGUGAAGAGGGCUGGUCUGAAGUUGCAGGAGGCUUCUGUUGAGGAUCUGUUGAUCCCGGCACAGUCGCCUCAGUCUACUACAAAGUACGAUGUUGAGUUGGUGAAGAGCCUUGUCAAUGAAUUCCUGACGAACGAAAAGCAUUUUGAGGAGUCGAGCAUUGAGAAGAAUGGUGGGGAAGUAGAAAGAUUCCUUUUCCCACCUGAGCAUAGGUCCUUGAUGCAUGUUGGCCAACUGAUUGAUGGCUACCUGGCUGAGAUUGCUCAUGAUGCCAAUGUUGGCCUCGAAAGCUUCAUGGACCUUUCUCGAUCUGUUCCGGAGCCUGCAAGGCCGAUUCAUGAUGGUCUUUACAUGGCGAUUGACAUCUACCUCAAGGCAAGCUAAUACUAUUAUAAUUGGUUACAUAACUUAGUAACUGGUUAUAAUCACAUGUAACUAGUUAUGAUAGGUUGUAACUGAUUAUAAUCCUAUUAUGUUCAUUUUUCCUUUCCAAAGUUAAAAAGUAAUUCAUGUGCUUACCCAUAAAAGGCGUUUCUUAUUAUUAUUAUUAUCAUUCAGGAGCAUCCAGGGUUGAGUAAGGUUGAAAGAAAGAAGAUGUGCAGCAUGUUGGAUGUUAAGAAGCUGACAAUGAAUGCUUCAAUGCACGCAGCACAAAAUGAGAGUCUCCCGCUUCGUUUGGUUGUACAAGUUCUCUUCUUUGAGCAGGUCAGAGCAGCAGCAGCAGCAGCUAAUGGUCAAAGCCUCAACCACAACCUGAAUUACACUUCGAAUGCGACGAAAAACACAGAGGAAGGUUGCGAAGUCCUGGAGAAGCAAAUGAGCGUGAAAUUGAAGGUAGCAACUGUUGAGGCUGAGGAGGAGGAAGAGGAGGAGCAGAGGAAUAUGAGGCUGAUGAAGAAAAACAGCAGCAAGAAUAGCAAAAGUGGAUUGCAGUUGCUACCAUCUCGUUCAAGGAGAAUAUUUGACAAGUUGUGGGGUGUUGGGAGGGGAGGGCAUGUAGUAGAGAGCAAGAGCUCUGAGACAUCUGGCAGCUCAGAGCUGAAUGUGCAUUCAUUCAUUGUCCUUUAUUUGGUGGAUAUAUUAAAUUUUGCUACCUCUUUUUCUGGAAAUUAUGACACGUGUGCUCUUCUUACAUGUAGGUAUGUUCCAUCCGAGCUGGCUACAGAUGUCACCAUUAAUGUUGGUGAAGUUAAAUUUUACCUCCACAAGGUAACUUCUUCAGUGCUUCUUCAAUAGCUGCUGAUAUGUUUGAAAUUCCGCCUUUUUAGAGUAGUUAGGACACAAGGCCUUUGAAAUAUGUGCUAAAUUCUGCUACGGAAUGACAGUCACUCUCAACGCAUACAAUGUCGUAGCUGCUCGAUGUGCAGCUGAGUACCUUGAGAUGACUGAGGAUGUCGAUUCAGGGAACCUGAUUUUCAAGAUUGAGGUGUUCCUCAACUCGAGCAUUUUCCGGAGCUGGAAAGAUUCUAUCAUUGUUCUUCAGACCACCAAGGCUCUAUUGCCCUGGUCUGAUGAGUUGAAGAUUGUUGG